This 309-nucleotide ribosomal RNA is filed under the name Francisella tularensis. Its description in RNAcentral is "partial 23S ribosomal RNA". It matches the Rfam family "Bacterial large subunit ribosomal RNA", at positions 140 to 489 of the family's 2925-position model. The record is from RNAcentral. Lineage: Bacteria; Pseudomonadati; Pseudomonadota; Gammaproteobacteria; Thiotrichales; Francisellaceae.
CAAGUUGGGUACUCACUCGAUAUAGAGUGUAGAGCGAACGAGGGGAACUGAAACAUCUAAGUACCCUUAGGAAGAGAAAUCAAUUGAGAUUCCCGUAGUAGUGGCGAGCGAAGUGGGAAGAGCCUGGUAUGAUUUAGCUGUAAUUAUAGUAGAACAAGUUGGGAAGCUUGACGAUAGAGGGUGAUAGUCCCGUAUACGAAAUAAUCACAGUGGAACUAAGCAUACGAACAAGUAGGACGGGGCACGUGGAACCUUGUCUGAAUAUGGGGGGACCAUCCUCCAAGGCUAAAUACUCCUGAAUGACCGAUA